Molecule: ribosomal RNA, 465 nt
Filed under: uncultured bacterium
Lineage: Bacteria
Description: bacterial SSU rRNA
Rfam family: Bacterial small subunit ribosomal RNA
Source: RNAcentral
UCGAGCGAGAAAGCCCGCAAGGGUGAGUAAAGCGGCGAACGGGUGAGUAACACGUGGAUAACCUACCUCGGUGACUGGGACAACUGGCCGAAAGGCUUGCUAAUACCAGAUAAGCCCACGAGCUUUACGGAGCUUGAGGGAAAAGGCGGCCUCUGUAAACAAGCUGUCACACUGAGAUGGGUCCGCGGCCCAUCAGCUAGUUGGCGGGGUAAAAGCCCACCAAGGCAACGACGGGUAGCUGGUCUGAGAGGAUGAUCAGCCACACUGGAACUGAGACACGGUCCAGACUCCUACGGGAGGCAGCAGUGGGGAAUCUUGCGCAAUGGGCGAAAGCCUGACGCAGCAACGCCGCGUGUGUGAUGAAGGUCUUCGGAUCGUANAGCACUGUCGCGAGGGAAGAUAAGCAUAGCCUAAGACGCUGUGGUGAGGACGGUACCUCGAGAGGAAGCACCGGCUAACUACGUG